Molecule: ribosomal RNA, 434 nt
Filed under: uncultured Oscillospiraceae bacterium
Lineage: Bacteria; Bacillati; Bacillota; Clostridia; Eubacteriales; Oscillospiraceae
Description: partial 16S ribosomal RNA
Rfam family: Bacterial small subunit ribosomal RNA
Source: RNAcentral
ACGGAAGGCAGCAGUGGGGAAUAUUGGGCAAUGGGGGAAACCCUGACCCAGCAACGCCGCGUGAAGGAAGAAGGCCUUCGGGUUGUAAACUUCUUUUACCAGGGACGAUAAUGACGGUACCUGGAGAAAAAGCAACGGCUAACUACGUUCCAGCAGCCGCGGUAAUACGUAGGUUGCAAGCGUUGUCCGGAUUUACUGGGUGUAAGGGGCGUGUAGGCGGAGCUGCAAGUCAGAUGUGAAAUCCCGGGGCUCAACCCCGGAACUGCAUUUGAAACUGUAGCCCUUGAGUAUCGGAGAGGCAAGCGGAAUUCCUAGUGUAGCGGUGAAAUGCGUAGAUAUUAGGAGGAACACCAGUGGCGAAGGCGGCUUGCUGGACGACAACUGACGCUGAGGCGCGAAAGCGUGGGGAGCAAACAGGAUUAGAUACCCUGGUA